Molecule: unclassified non-coding RNA, 357 nt
Filed under: Hevea brasiliensis (rubber tree)
Lineage: Eukaryota; Viridiplantae; Streptophyta; Magnoliopsida; Malpighiales; Euphorbiaceae
Source: RNAcentral
AAACUGAGAAAAAUGCCUGAAAAGGGAAUAGAUAAAUCAGUUUUAGAUUAAUCCGCUUCCACUAAAAAAUUCCUCAGCACAGCUAAGAGUUAAACUACUGUUGCACAUCCAGUUGCGACCUAAAGGUUAAAUCCGCAUUCAAAAGCUUAUUUUCUCUUUCUUUCCUUUAUCUGGCAGCAAUCAAAGAGAAAACGAACCUUGAUUAUUCAAAUUGACAGAACACCUACAGCUUUACCAAACAUUGCACAACAUAAAUAUCGAAGCAAUUUUUGAUAUCAUUGCAUCGAACCUAAACUAACACAUAUUUACAAUGUUAAAUCAAUAUCUAAUUUACAAUUUAACAAUGGUAUUCAAAAG